Non-coding RNA from Vicia faba (fava bean), 180 nucleotides. Lineage: Eukaryota; Viridiplantae; Streptophyta; Magnoliopsida; Fabales; Fabaceae. The record is from the annotation of a GenBank genome assembly.
AUGCAGUGGACGCACGACACUAUCCAUUGUCUCUGGGUUUGGUGCGUUAUAGGUGAAAUGAAACAAUUGAUGAACCCCGAUGUUGUAGUGUGUCGUUCUUUGAACUUGAAUUGUGGUAACGAAAUUGCAUUAUUUGAAGCCCUCUUAUUCGAUUCAAGAAAGCUGAUCAGUGAGAAUUAA